UACGUAGGGCGCAAGCGUUGUCCGGAAUUAUUGGGCGUAAAGAGCUCGUAGGCGGUUUGUCGCGUCUGUCGUGAAAGCUUGGGGCUUAACCCCAAGUCUGCGGUGGAUACGGGCAGACUAGAGGCAGGUAGGGGAGAACGGAAUUCCCGGUGUAGCGGUGAAAUGCGCAGAUAUCGGGAGGAACACCGGUGGCGAAGGCGGUUCUCUGGGCCUGUACUGACGCUGAGGAGCGAAAGCUAGGGGAGCAAACGGG
RNAcentral lists this ribosomal RNA (253 nucleotides) under uncultured bacterium. RNAcentral describes it as "partial 16S ribosomal RNA". It matches the Rfam family "Bacterial small subunit ribosomal RNA", at positions 524 to 776 of the family's 1533-position model. The record is from RNAcentral.